CUGGGUGAGCUAUGAACAGGCCAACUGCAAGGGCGAGCAGUUUGUGUUUGAGAAGGGCGAGUACGCCCACUGGGACUGGUGGACCAGCAGCCAGAGGACAGACUCAGCAGCCUGAGGCCCAUCAAAGUGGACAGCCAAGAGCACAAGAUCAUCCUCUAUGAAAACCCCAACUUCACCGGGAAGAAGAUGGAAAUCAUAGAUGACGAUGUACCCAGCUUCCACGCCCAUGGCUACCAGGAGAAGGUGUCAUCUGUGUGGGUGCGGAGUGGCAUGUGGGUUGGCUACUAGUACCCUGGCUACCGUGGGCUGCAGUACCUGCUGGAGAAGGGAGACUACAAGGACAGCAGCGACUUUGGGGCCCGUCACCCUCAGAUGUUACAGAAGCACAGAGAGGUUAAGUAACUUGCCCAGUGCUGCACAGAAACUAAGUGGUGGAGCUGGGAUCCGAACCCAAGCUAUCUGACUGUAUUGACAAACAAAAGAUGCAUCAAAACCCAAAAGGGCGAGCGAGGUAUUAUGGCCAUUACUGGGGAGUUAGAAAUUUCUUUUCACUGGAGAGAUAAAUGGUGUUUCUGUUCCAGAUUGUGAACUGGCCAUGCCUGGCUCUAGGCUUUGGGACAGUUCAACUCUGUUCCACAUGUCUGAUUCUGGAUCCCAUGCUGAAGAGGCAGCUGCUGUAUAAGGCAUGUUCUUUUUGUGAUGAUGGCAGAAGUUUGAGAGACAAGUCACACUAUGCAAACAUGGCUCAAGAUUCUAUCAUACAACAUCUGCUCACAUUCAACUGGCCAAAGUCAGUCAAGGUCAGUGGGGCAGAAAAGAAUAUACUGCCCGAAAAGGAAGGAAAAAGUGAGUGAACAUGUGUUGAACAAUACUCCAAUUUAUUAUCGGUAGGUCAAGGAAUCUUUGCAGCCUGAGUCUCGUAUGGUGAUUCUCAAACCUCAGCAAACAUAGAUAUCAUCUGGGGAAUCUGGUUCAAAAUGCAGACCUGAGACUAUUCUCCUGCAGAAUAUCUGAGUCAGUGGAUUUGGGUGGGGCCCAGGAAUCUGCACUUUAAACAGCCACUCCCUGGGGUUAUUCUGAUACUGAUGGUCCAGGGUCCACACUUUGAGAAUCACUGGUUUAAUGGUUCUGAGCAUGUGCUGAGGGCUCAGAGAUGCAAGUUCAAAUCCCAGCUCCACCCUAGCUUUGACCUUGGUAAGUAGCUUUGCUUUUCAGAGCCUCAGUUUUCUCCUCUAAAAAACUGAGUUGGCCGGGCGCUGUGGCUCAUGCCUGUAAUCCCAGCACUUUGGGAGGCUGAGGUGGGCGGAUCAUCUGAGGUUGUGAGUUUGAGACCAGCCUGACCAACAUGGAGAAACCCUGUCUCUACUAAAAAUACAAAAUUAGCCGGGCAUGGUGAUGCAUGCCUGUAGUCCCAGCUACUAGGGAGGCUGAGGCAGGAGAAUCACUUCAACCUGGGAGGCGGAGGUUGCGGUGAGCUGAGAUCACGCCAUUGCACUCCAGCCUGGGCAACAAGAGCGAAACUCUGUCUCAAAAAAAUAAAUAAAUAAAUAAAGU
Molecule: long non-coding RNA, 1554 nt
Filed under: Homo sapiens (human)
Lineage: Eukaryota; Metazoa; Chordata; Mammalia; Primates; Hominidae
Description: long non-coding RNA NONHSAT192161.1
Source: RNAcentral